This 253-nucleotide ribosomal RNA is filed under the name uncultured bacterium. RNAcentral's name for it is "partial 16S ribosomal RNA". It matches the Rfam family "Bacterial small subunit ribosomal RNA", at positions 524 to 776 of the family's 1533-position model. The record is from RNAcentral.
CACGUAGGGGGCAAGCGUUGUCCGGAAUUAUUGGGCGUAAAGAGCUCGUAGGUGGCCUGUCGCGUCGGCUGUGAAAACUCGGGGCUCAACUCCGAGCUUGCAGUCGAUACGGGCAGGCUAGAGUUCGGCAGGGGAGACUGGAAUUCCUGGUGUAGCGGUGAAAUGCGCAGAUAUCAGGAGGAACACCGGUGGCGAAGGCGGGUCUCUGGGCAUUAACUGACGCUGAGGAGCGAAAGCAUGGGGAGCGAACAGG